UACACGAUCGUCCUACGGGUCGUCAUUCGACAGGAGUUUAGUCGGUGCCGGUCCCGAAACGUGUUCACGUCUGAACAUCCUGCGGGACGUGAAAUUUAAGAUGGCAAGGGAUAUGUACAUUUGAUAGGACGGUCCAUUAGUGGGGAAACAAAGGAAAAAGAUAAAUAUAAGAUAUUCGGCUUUUUUAGUGAACGAAUAAUAGAAAAACGGAAGAAGUUAGAUACGCGGAGAUAAUGAACGAUCCAGAGAGUGAGAGAAGAAGGGGUCUGCGCGAAAGGAACCUUUAGAUUCGUCUAAUUGCACGUCCAAAUUCCUGGUGUCGCGUCUUAAAUCGUAAUAACUGCUUUCAUAAUCGUGUUAUUAUCAUUAUUAUUUAAUCGAUCAUAAUCGUAUUCUUCUCGAGAUGAUAAAAUCACGUAGAACAUUCGAAUAAUUUUCAUAUAUAUUUACAGCCAUUUUAUCUUUUUUUUUCCACUUGUUCGCUCUCUCAUUCAUUCUCUCUCUCUCUCUCUCUCUCUCUUUCUCGUCGCGUUACGAAUUGCUCCUAUUGAAGGGGGGUGGGGAACGUUAGACAUUCUCGAUGACACCUCCGCGACGAAUGUUAUUACGGGAUAAAGGAGAGAGCAAAAGAACGUGGGUCGUCUCGUCUUAAAGAAGGUCAGAAGGAGAAGAAAAUAUGGGAAAGGGCGAUAAAAGGGGAAUAGCACAGCGCAGCGACGCGGGAACGAAUCUCGUGGGAAAAUUUACUCAAAGUGUACGAAGGAUCGUUCAAGAUGUCAAGGAUGAAGGAACAUCGAGUGGUCAAACGAAGGAAGAGGUCAUCGAGACGAACGAACGACUGAGGAUAGUCAGGAUACGUCUCGAAGGAAGUUAUGACACCGCUAAACGCGCUCUCGUCGAGCUUAUGUGCAAGUAUACGAACAGUAAACAAGUCCGUAACGUGUUCCAACGGUACAACCUCCUGAAAGUUAUGAUCAAGGAUGUGAUCAAACUAGAGACGCAGUACUGGACUCUGGUGGAUAUACCAAGGCAAGAGAAACAAGAAACGGUGCUCGCCUUCGUUCUGCGUGCCUGUUCCAUCAUGGAAAAGACUCACAAGAGUGGAGAGGGCGUGAAAACCUCGGCACGAUUGGCGGAGGAAGCUGAGACGAAAAGGGAACGCAUCGAGAGACUCGAGGGUCUGACUACAGCAAUGAUCGAAACGGAGAAUACCCAUAUGACCAAUGAUCUGUACAGGUUGCUGAAAAAGUAUACAGGGCUAAGAAAUCUUAUUCGUGUUCUAAAGGAGGAAUACAACAAUUCGAAGAUAUAUCCGAUGUUUCCACGUUACACGAUUCUGAAAGAUAUGAUAAAAGACAUAAUGCACAAUCCAGACUACAUGGAGGUUUGUCACGAGUUGGAUCAAGCAUAGCGGCCGGACCCCCUUCACCGUUCGCCACGGAUGACCUUAUAAAUCAAAGGUCAUUUCGAGGCGCAUCGGUGUAGGGGGUGCACAGACCAUGUGUCCUGUCCAUUUCGUCGUUUCUUGUGUCAAGAAUGGUUAGAAUCGGUGGUUGACAAAGGAACUCGGCGAAUAGGAACUAAUCAAGAUGGCCGCAACUAACUCGAGUUUACCCAGUGAAAUUCCAACGAAGAA
This 1636-nucleotide unclassified non-coding RNA is filed under the name Polistes fuscatus (common paper wasp). RNAcentral describes it as "uncharacterized LOC122517453, transcript variant X1". Lineage: Eukaryota; Metazoa; Arthropoda; Insecta; Hymenoptera; Vespidae. The record is from RNAcentral.